ACUCAGGCCAUUGCACAGCACGAGUAUCUCGAACUUACACAGAUUCCAGAAAAAGAGACUUAAGCCAAGCUCCAUAGAGGGCGGUACCGCCUCCAUGACACUGAUCCACCCACAGAAUUCUGCCCAGUUACCUUGGAUCCACCAGCCACAACAAUCCUGGCAGAACACACCAAGAUUCCACCUGGAAUCCAACCGGUUUUCUGAGGCCUCAUCCUGUCUUUGGAAGUAACCGACCACACUUCGGAAAGUGUCCUGUGCCAAGGGCUGGACGUCAGGAAUCUUGGACCCGUUCUUGAAGCAGGGAAUUGAGUAACUUUCUCAAGUGCACGUUGACACUCCGUAUAUUUCUACCAGUAUCACCGAGGUUCAGUAGGUCUCAUGAAAGAAUUUCGAGCCUGGAAUUCUCUAGAGAAGCCUCCAUGCCGGUAUUCUCCAUUGUAGCAGAACAACUCUCAUCAAUAUGUUCGCAUCUCAGCUCAAUCCAUCCAGCCAACUUUUCUGCCAGGUUCUCUUCGUGUCUCCCAUAAAGUCGACUUCAACAGGACUGGGCAAGUCUGGAAGUAACUCUGAGCCUCACUAGUAUGCUGAUGACAGGCAGAUCUUCCACUGUCUGCCCUUUCAGAUUCUGGAAACUGACCCGUGAACUCAGGUCUUUGGGCAGCAGCAGUAACUCGAACUUGCACAGCUUCCCGAGCAAAAGACCAAAGCCAAGCUCCACAGAGGGCGGCAGACCCUCCAUCACACUGAUCCACCCACAGAAUUCUGCCCAGGUACCUUGGUUCCAUCAGCCACAACAAGCCUCGCAGUACACAGCAACAUUCCUUCUGGAAUUCCAUCCGACGUCAGGAAUCUUGGACUCGUUCUUGGAGCAGAUAAUCGAGUAACUUUCUCAAGGGCACGUUGACUCUCCGUAUGUUUCUUCCAGUAUCACCGAUUUUCAGUAGUUCUCAUGAAUGUCUUUCGAGCCUGGUAUGCUCUAGAGAUGUGUCCAUGCAGAUAUUCUCCACUGUAGCAGAACAACUUUCAUCAAUGUAUUCGCACAUCUCCUGAAUCCAUGCAGCCAGUGUUUCUGCCAGCUUCUCUUCGUGUCUCCCAUAAAGUCGACGUCAAAAGGACUGGGCAAGUCUGAAAAUACCUCAGAGCCUCACUAUUAAGCUGAUGACAGGCAGAUCUUCCACUGUCUGGCCUUUCAGAUUCUGGGAACUGACCUGUGAACUCAGGUUUCUGGGCAGCAGCAGUAUCUCGAACUUAAACAUCUUCCCGUACAAAAGACCUAAGCCAAUCUCCACAUAGAGCAGCAGACACACCAUCAAACUGAUCCACCCACAGAAUUCUGCACAUUUACCUUGGAUCCAGCAGCCGCAAUAUGCCUCGUGAUACACACCAACAUUCCACCUGGAAUCCAACCGACGUCAGGAAUAUUGGACCCGUUCUUGGAGCAGAGAAUCGAGUAACUUUCUCAAGGGCACGUUGAAUCUCCGUAUGUUUCUUCCAGUAUCACCGAGGUUCAGUAGGUCUCAUGAAUGUCUUUCGAGCCUGGUAUGCUCUAGAGAUGUCUCCAAGCCGAUAAUCUCCACUGUAGCAGAACAACUUUCAUCAAUGUGUUCGCACAUCUCCUGAAUCCAUGCAGCCAGUGUUUCUGCCAGCUUCUCUUCGUGUCUCCCAUAAAGUCGACGUCAACAGGACUGGGCAAGUCUGAAAAUACCUCGGAGCCUCACCAGUAAGCUGAUGACUGGCAGAUCUUCCACUGUCUGCCCUUUCAGAUUCUGGAAACUGACCUGUGAACUCAGGUCUCAGGGCAGCAGCAGUAUCUCGAACUUACUCAGCUUCCCGAACAAAAGAGCUAAGCCAAUCUCCACAUAGGGUAGCAGACCCAAUAUUAAACUGAUCCACCCACAGAAUACUGCCCAGUUACCUUGGAUCCACCAGCCGCAACACGCCUCGUGGUACACACCAAAAUUCCACCUGGAAUCCAAACGGUAAGUGCCAUCCCCAGUGGUUGAUGCAUCAAGUCCUUGUUGGGGGUGAUGCUGCAUUAGAGGAGAUUUUCCUAAAGGAAAUGUGAUUCUAUCCACAAGGGUCCCAUGGUCCUUUUCUCUUCCCUCUUUCCUUUUGUUCAGAUCUGUAUACACUGUACAAAAGGAGGGAAGUGUGUCCAUGAUCAUUUUAUGAAUUCACACUUAUUAAUCUUUCUAAAAGUUCACAGUACACAGAGACCCACUCAAGGAAACUCAUGUUUGUGUCAUAUCCAUUCACCCAGAUUACAUAUCCGUCUGUUGCUUUCUGCUGAAAC
Molecule: long non-coding RNA, 2293 nt
Organism: Camelus dromedarius (Arabian camel)
Lineage: Eukaryota; Metazoa; Chordata; Mammalia; Artiodactyla; Camelidae
Exons: 5
Source: RefSeq, a predicted model, not a curated record